GCUAAUACCGGAUAACAACAGAUGAUGCCUAUCAACUGUUUAAAAAGAAUGGUUCUGCUAUCACUCUUGGAUGGACCUGCGGUGCAUUAGCUAGUUGGUAGGGUAACGGCCUACCAAGGCGAUGAUGCAUAGCCGAGUUGAGAGACUGAUCGGCCACAUUGGGACUGAGACACGGCCCAAACUCCUACGGGAGGCAGCAGCA
Molecule: ribosomal RNA, 202 nt
Filed under: uncultured Lactobacillus sp.
Lineage: Bacteria; Bacillati; Bacillota; Bacilli; Lactobacillales; Lactobacillaceae
Description: partial 16S ribosomal RNA
Rfam family: Bacterial small subunit ribosomal RNA
Source: RNAcentral